Molecule: ribosomal RNA, 253 nt
Filed under: uncultured bacterium
Lineage: Bacteria
Description: partial 16S ribosomal RNA
Rfam family: Bacterial small subunit ribosomal RNA
Source: RNAcentral
UACGUAGGGGGCAAGCGUUAUCCGGAUUUACUGGGUGUAAAGGGAGCAUAGACGGCCAGACAAGUCUGAAGUGAAAAUCCAGCGCUUAACGUUGGAAGUGCUUUGGAAACUGCCGGGCUGGAGUGCAGAAGGGGCAGGCGGAAUUCCUAGUGUAGCGGUGAAAUGCGUAGAUAUUAGGAGGAACACCAGUGGCGAAGGCGGCUUACUGGACUGUAACUGACGUUGAGGCUCGAAAGCGUGGGGAGCAAACAGG